UUUUGCAGUGAAAAUUAACUCUUAGAGCCAGAGAGAUUCUGUGUUAAUCCCAGAAGAGACAAUGGCCAAGUACCAAUGCAAGGUGAACAUGGCACGGUGAACAAGAGCACUUGGGCCAGAUGUUCCAUUUGUGUUCUCACUCUUUACCAUGGUGGUCUACCUCCAGUUACCCAGGCAGUCAGAUCCCGACAUCCAGUAAAAGAUCUGACAGGACUCAUCCAAACCCACAACCAUGUAGAGAAAAAGGCUUCCUUUUCCCUGGGGAAAUUUCAGGUCUGCCAGAGAAAUGGAAGAGCUGUAAAGAAUAAAACUGUAUUUGAUUUGA
Long non-coding RNA from Neopsephotus bourkii (Bourke's parrot), 325 nucleotides. RefSeq lists it as uncharacterized. The record is from RefSeq and is a predicted model, not a curated record. Lineage: Eukaryota; Metazoa; Chordata; Aves; Psittaciformes; Psittacidae. The transcript is spliced from 3 exons.